AUUGAACGCUGGCGGCAGGCCUAACACAUGCAAGUCGAGCGGAUGAAGGGAGCUUGCUCCUGGAUUCAGCGGCGGACGGGUGAGUAAUGCCUAGGAAUCUGCCUGGUAGUGGGGGAUAACGUCCGGAAACGGGCGCUAAUACCGCAUACGUCCUGAGGGAGAAAGUGGGGGAUCUUCGGACCUCACGCUAUCAGAUGAGCCUAGGUCGGAUUAGCUAGUUGGUGGGGUAAAGGCCUACCAAGGCGACGGUCCGUAACUGGUCUGAGAGGAUGAUCAGUCACACUUGAACUGAGACACGGUCCAGACUCCUACGGGAGGCAGCAGUGGGGAAUAUUGGACGAUGGGCGAAAGCCUGAUCCAGCCAUGCCGCGUGUGUGAAGAAGGUCUUCUGAUUGUAAAGCACUUUAAGUUGGGAGGAAGGGCAGUAAGUUAAUACCUUGCUGUUUUGACGUUACCAACAGAAUAAGCACCGGCUAACUUCGUG
This 484-nucleotide ribosomal RNA is filed under the name uncultured bacterium. Its description in RNAcentral is "partial 16S ribosomal RNA". It matches the Rfam family "Bacterial small subunit ribosomal RNA", at positions 30 to 507 of the family's 1533-position model. The record is from RNAcentral.